GACGAACGCUGGCGGCGCGCUUAACACAUGCAAGUCGAACGGAAAGGCCUGCUUUCCCUUGUGGAUUGCGGGUACUCGAGUGGCGAACGGGUGAGUAACACGUGAGUGAUCUGCCCCCAACUUGGGUAUAAGCCUGGGAAACUGGGUCUAAUUCCCGAUAGGACUGCAGGGUGGUGCCUGUGGUGGAAAACGAUUUUCUAGUGGUUGGGGAUGAGCUCGCGGCCUAUCAGCUUGUUGGUGGGGUAAUGGCCUACCAAGGCGGCGACGGGUAGCCGGCCUGAGAGGGAGGACGGCGACAUUGAGACUGGGAUACGGCCCAGACUCCUACGGGAGGCAGCAGUGGGGAAUCUUGCACAAUGGGCGGAAGCCUGAUGCAGCGACGCCGCGUGGGGGAUGACGGCCUUCGGGUUGUAAACUCCUUUCGACCGCGAGGAAGCCACCUGGUUGGAAGGGUGGUGACGGUAGUGGUAGAAGAAGCACCGGCUAACUACGUG
RNAcentral lists this ribosomal RNA (494 nucleotides) under uncultured bacterium. Its description in RNAcentral is "partial 16S ribosomal RNA". It matches the Rfam family "Bacterial small subunit ribosomal RNA", at positions 28 to 507 of the family's 1533-position model. The record is from RNAcentral.